Molecule: microRNA precursor, 92 nt
Filed under: Octodon degus (degu)
Lineage: Eukaryota; Metazoa; Chordata; Mammalia; Rodentia; Octodontidae
Description: miRNA (ENSODEG00000022203.1)
Rfam family: mir-328 microRNA precursor family (bases 14-88)
Source: RNAcentral
CUGUCUCAGAGCCUGGAACAGGGGGGCAGGAGGGGCUCAGGGAGAAAGUGUAUACAGACCCUGGCCCUCUCUGCCCUUCUGAUCCCUGGCCC